CCUACGGGAGGCAGCAGUGAGGAAUAUUGGUCAAUGGGCGCGAGCCUGAACCAGCGAAGUAGCGUGAAGGAUGACUGCCCUACGGGUUGUAAACCUCUUUUAUAAGGGAAGAAUAAAUGCUACGUGUAGCAUGAUGCCUGUACCUUAUGAAUAAGCAUCGGCUAACUACGUGCCAGCAGCCGCGGUAAUACGGAGGAGGCGAGCGUUAUCCGGAUUUAUUGGGUUUAAAGGGUGCGGAGGCGGUUUUUUAAGUUAGUGGUUAAACGUCGGGGCUUCACCUUGUUUGGCCAUUAAUACUGUAAGACUCGAGUUCAGACGAGGUAGGCGGAAUAAGUUAAGUAGCGGUGAAAUGCUUAGAUAUAACUUAGAACUCCGAUAGCGAAGGCAGCUUACCAGACUGCGACUGACGCUGAAGCACGAGAGCGUGGGUAGCGAACAGGAUUAGAUACCCGGGUAGUC
RNAcentral lists this ribosomal RNA (459 nucleotides) under uncultured bacterium. RNAcentral's name for it is "partial 16S ribosomal RNA". It matches the Rfam family "Bacterial small subunit ribosomal RNA", at positions 338 to 795 of the family's 1533-position model. The record is from RNAcentral.